AAAGUCUUAUUUCCAUGCCGUUCUUGAGGAAAUGCUCCGGAUGGAGGUUUCAUUUGGGGAGUUUGCUUCUGUGCCUACAGACUGGAGGUGCUGGGCCCCUCACCAAGCCUGUGUGGCUGAGCCAGCAGGUCCUCGUCCUCUACCUCAGAGUUUUCUUCAGCUGUCCUAUUGGUGAGGCAUUUUGUCUUUUAGAAAUUUUGUGUCCAGCUAUCACCCUUAACCUUGUAAAAAGCUUCACCAAGACGUCAUGUUACAGCCAAGUUCCAGCAAGAUCAGAUACACAGAUUCACCAACCAGCCGGUCAAUCAACUACUUCUUCAAGACCUCCAGCCCCUGACGCCCAAGACGGAGUCCUAAAGCUCAUGUCCAACUCCUCCAGCUCAACCAGACCCCAAGGGCCGCUCCCUCCAUCCUUUGAGGAAGUACCUCUUUUUCGUAACCCCUCAGGGAAUUUCCCCUACUGCUACACUUCCUCAGGUUUGACACCUGUGACCAGAUCCUUCAAAUCUCUUCCCCAACCUUUGCUCCUAUGGGGUUCUUUUUCUGGUGCAAUGCUGCUCUAACAAAAAUCUAAGCCUCGUCAUGCCGUUUGCUUUUUGUGUUCCUUCCACCUUGGUCCCUCAAUUAACUCUGUACAGUGAGGCUGAAUUAACCUGGCUUGUCACCACCUCCCUUUCCAGGGCAAGGUGGGCCGUCUUUCUACCAGUAGUGAUUGGACUCUCCCUGGCCUCCUCCCUCGCUGCCUCUGGACUGGGGGCAGGAGGACUUGGUUAUGCAGUAACUGCUUACUCAGAAGCUUGAACAACUUAGGGAAGUGGAAGAAGCAUCUGCCGCCUCUCUGACUUCCCUACAAAGGCAAAUAACAUCCAUUGCCCAAGUUUCAUUACAGAACCGUGGAGCCCUGGAUCUCCUGACAGCAGACCAAGGAGGAACCUGUCUAUUCCUGAAAGAAGAAUGCUGCUACUACAUCCAUGACACUGGAUUGGUCAAAAAGAACGUCGACACCCUCCGUUGAUUGGGUGAAAGGCUUAAAUAGCAACAAUCAAACGACCCCUGGCCAAGCUGGCUAAAGUCAACCCUCAUUACGUGGCUGACUCCCAUUCUCACUCCUCUGUUAGUAAUAGGACUUCUAUUAAUGGUCGCUCCCUGCCUCCUCAGGUUCGCCUAAAAGUACAUGAGUGAAAUCACCAGAGUGACCUACAACCAGAUGCUCCUACACCCCUACAGUCGCCUCCCCACCAAACUGACACCCUUCCAGAACCUCUAGCCAGCAGGAAGUAGCCAGAUGGAAUUUGGCACCCUAUAUCAUCAAAAAGGCCAGGACGCUACGUAUGUUGAGGGGGCUAAGGGAAUCAAAGCACCAGGCAACAACCAAUCAGGGGCCAACAGAAAGCAGUGAUAAUCACCUGUCAAUCAGUGUGGUCUCCUGACUGAUCCUGGAAGGACAUGGAGCUCAGCAAGAUCCUCUGACCAACCCCAGGAGGACAAGGGACCCUAAAAACCUCCCUUUCCUGUCCCAAGCCCUCCCUUCCUGCCCUAAGCCUGAUAAAUUUACAAUCCAUCUGAGCCUGGGUACGACUUCCCUGGACCCACUCUGUUGGACUAGAGGUUCUCACCCAGGAGCGAACCUCAAUAAAGCCUUGUUCAGCAGCUUUUAA
This is a long non-coding RNA of Marmota flaviventris (yellow-bellied marmot), 1658 nucleotides long. RefSeq lists it as uncharacterized. The record is from RefSeq and is a predicted model, not a curated record. Lineage: Eukaryota; Metazoa; Chordata; Mammalia; Rodentia; Sciuridae.